Molecule: ribosomal RNA, 459 nt
Filed under: uncultured bacterium
Lineage: Bacteria
Description: partial 16S ribosomal RNA
Rfam family: Bacterial small subunit ribosomal RNA
Source: RNAcentral
CUACGGGAUGCUGCAGUAAGGAAUAUUGCGCAAUGGAGGCAACUCUGACGCAGCCAUGCCGCGUGCAGGAAGAAGGCCUUAUGGGUCGUAAACUGCUUUUAUUUAGGAAUAAACCCCCGAACGUGUUCGGGGCUGAAGGUACUAAACGAAUAAGCACCGGCUAACUCCGUGCCAGCAGCCGCGGUAAUACGGAGGGUGCAAGCGUUAUCCGGAUUUAUUGGGUUUAAAGGGUGCGCAGGCGGGCUAUUAAGUCAGUGGUGAAAUCCCGGGGCUCAACUCCGGAACUGCCAUUGAUACUGAUAGUCUUGAGUUUGGUUGAAGCGGGCGGAAUGUAGCAUGUAGCGGUGAAAUGCAUAGAUAUGCUACAGAACACCAAUCGCGAAGGCAGCUCACUAAGCCAAAACUGACGCUCAUGCACGAAAGCGUGGGGAUCAAACAGGAUUAGAUACCCCCGUAGUC